Molecule: long non-coding RNA, 2027 nt
Organism: Papaver somniferum (opium poppy)
Lineage: Eukaryota; Viridiplantae; Streptophyta; Magnoliopsida; Ranunculales; Papaveraceae
Exons: 3
Source: RefSeq, a predicted model, not a curated record
GGCGGAGUUAUCAGUAGGUUUAUUAGUUUUCUUCAUUUUUCUCUCUUGUUUUUUGUGUUUCGGAACUGCUAUGCAGUAGAUAACAACACCAUUACAUCAACCAAAGCCAUAACUGACUCUCAGACUCUAACUUCCACCGGCGAGGUAUUCAAACUCGGCUUUUUCAGUCCUCCAAAUUCUACAGAUCGUUAUGUCGGGAUAUGGUACGAAUUUGAUCCUAGACAUAAACAUUGUAUGGGUUGCAAACAGGGAUAAGCCGCUAAAAGAUUCACCGGGAACCUUAAGAAUUGUAGAAGAUGGAAAUCUUGUGGUUGUAGAUGGACGAGGGGUUGUUUAUUGGACUCUAAUACUACUGCACCUAAUAAUUCAGUUGCCGAGCUAUUAGAUACCGGAAACCUUGAGUUUAGAUUGCUAAAUGAGUCUGUAUGGCAGAGUUUCGAUCACCCAACCCAUACUUUUCUUCCAGGGAUGAAGAUUGGUGGAAGUACAGUAACGGGAAAGAAACAAGAGCUCACAUCGUGGAAAAGCGAAUCAAAUCCUACAACAGGGAUUUUUUCACUCAUGCUCGAGCUACUUGGUGGUCAUCCUCAGCUGGUCAUUUAGAGAAGUGGGUUUAAGUUUCGACUUUGGCGAAGUGGUCCGUGGAAUAGUAUAAUAUUCAUUGGCAUAGCUGACAUGACAUAUGCUCAGGCUUUCUCUUUGUCAGAAGAUACAUAUAAGCUUCAAAGAUCCUAAUAAAAUAUACCCGCAAUUCGUAUUGGAUCACCAUGGAGCAUUCCUUGGAAAGCAGUGGGAUGCGGAUCUGAACAAUUGGCAUGAAUUUUGGUCAUCACAAAGUAAUACAUGUGAUACUUAUGGAACAUGUGGCUCUUUCGGUAUUUGCAAUCCAUCAAAUUCGCCAAUUUGCAGUUGUCUAAUAGGAUUAAAACCCAAGUUUGAAGAUGAAUAGAGUGAGGGAAACUGGUCAGGUGGGUGUGUCAGGAUUAUGCAAUUGGAGUGCCAAGAUAGCAGCUUCGGGAAUCCAAAAACUCUGGAUGGGUCCAAAAAAUUGGGAAGCAUGAAAGUGCCUGAUUAUGUUAUUGCUUCAUUGUUACUUGUAACAGAGAUAGAUGAUUGUGAAAUGAUCUGCUUGACGAACUGUUUGUGCUUAGCUUAUUCAUAUGAUAAUCUAGUUGACAUACAAAAGUUAAUUACUUUUGUAUGUAAUAGUUAUUGUAGUCCUUGUCGGAACACUUUGCCAUCAACAUUUGCACGUACUUCUUCUGUAAGUGUCCGCUGACAAAGCAAAGAGGAAAUAUUGAUGCCUAUUUGGACGAUACCCCCGAAGAGACUCCAGAUACUUCAGAUCAAGUGAAAGUUUUCAAAUUUAAAGAGCUAGCAACUUCCACAAAUAAUUUUACUGGAGCUAAUAUGCUUGGCCAAGGUGGAUUUGGGCAAGUGUACAAGGUGACGGAUAGGAAAUAGCCGUGAAGAGGCUUUCAAAGGGUUCUAUACAAGGCUUAGAGGAGUUCAAAAAUGAAGUCAUAGUGAUUUCAAAAGUUCAGCACAGGAAUCUGGUUAGACUUUUAGGUUGUUGUCUUGAAGGGGUGCCUAACAAAAGCUUGGACGCCUUCCUUUUCGGUUUGAUUCUCUUUCACUGAAUCAAUUCCAUGUGCUUAUGUCGACGUGUGUUUUCCAGUACUUGUUUACUUUUUCAUGUAACUUCGCUUGCUCUGGUGUUUUUGUGUGAGAUCCAACGAAGCGAGAACACUUAGAUUGGAAAAAGAGAUUCCACAUCAUCGAAGGGAUAAGCAGGGGAAUGUUGUAUCUACAUAGAGAUUCUAGAAUUAGGGUGAUUCAUAGAGUAGAGACCUUAAAGUUAGUAACAUUCUAUUGGAUGAAGGCCUGAAUCCGAAAAUUUCAGAUAUUCGGAGGUAAUGAACAACAAGCAAGUACUAGAAGAAUAGUUGGGACACUGUAAGUAAAAGAAUUUGUUUCAAUGGUGUGCAUUAGCGGUUUGAGUAGCAAUAAAAUUGUGAUAGAUUCCU